RNAcentral lists this ribosomal RNA (637 nucleotides) under uncultured fungus. RNAcentral's name for it is "eukaryotic LSU rRNA". It matches the Rfam family "Eukaryotic large subunit ribosomal RNA", at positions 23 to 640 of the family's 3401-position model. The record is from RNAcentral. Lineage: Eukaryota; Fungi.
ACCCGCUGAACUUAAGCAUAUCACUAAGCGGAGGAAAAGAAAUUAACUAAGAUUGCCUCAGUAACGGCGAGUGAAGCGGCAAGAGCCCAAGCUGGAAAUCUUCACACUGCGUGUGACGAAUUGUAAUCUAAAGAGGGUUCGCUCAACGGGCGGUGGCGCAGAAGUGCCUUAGAACGGGCCGCCAGAGAGGGUGACAGCCCCGUAUGUGGUGCCACUGCCUAACGAGCGGGUCCCCGAAGAGUCGGGUUGUUUUGUAUUGCAGCCCUAAGUGGGAGAUAAACUUCUUCUAAGGCUAAAUACCUAUGGGAAACCGAUAGCGAACAAGUACUGUGAAGGAAAGAUGAAAAGAACUUUGAAAAGAGAGUCAAAAGACUUGAAAUCGUUGAGAAGGAAGCGGUAGAAAUUUAUUCUUCGGCGGUGAACGGUGACUUCUGCCUAUCCAUUGCCGGCUGCCAGCACUUCAUAAGGCUGCGGCCGGCACAUGGGGAAGCGGCUGUCUUGUUCUCCGUCGUGAGGCAAAAUGAGGUCGCACAUCCGCAGAGGCUUCCCAAACCUGGCCCGAUUCGUCGGGCAGUUUGGGUUCGCCGGCGGGCGUGCGGCCUGAGGGUGCUUCGUGCGAUUUUGCCAAAAUGGUUUU